Long non-coding RNA from Oncorhynchus tshawytscha (Chinook salmon), 439 nucleotides. Lineage: Eukaryota; Metazoa; Chordata; Actinopteri; Salmoniformes; Salmonidae. The record is from Ensembl.
GAGGUAGGCUGGUUAAUAUAUAUACUGAACAGGGAUGGAGAGUGAGCUGGUGAGGUAGACUGGACAGGGAUGGAGAGUGAGCUGGUGAGGUAGACUGAACAGGGAUGGAGAGUGAGCUGGUGAGGUAGGCUGGACAAUAUAUAUACUGAACAGGGAUGGAGAGUGAGCUAGUGAGGUAGGCUGGACAAUACAUAUACUGAACAGGGAUGGAGAGUGAGCUGGUGAGGUAGACUGGACAAUAUAUAUACUGAACAGGGAUGGAGAGGGAGCUGGUGAGGUAGACUGCACAAUAUAUAUACUGAACAGGGAUGGAGAGUGAGCUGGUGAGGUAGGCUGGACAAUACAUAUACUGAACAGGGAUGGAGAGUGAGCUGGUGAGGUAGGCUGGUUAAUAUAUAUACUGAACAGGGAUGGAGAGUGAGCUGGUGAGGUAGACUGG